CUUAGGCCUUCAAUGCCGCUUCCCUUCCUUGAUACCUCCUGCCUAAUUGCUGGACUUCCUGGUGCCCGAGUGCGCUGAGUGCACUUGUCUUCUCAGCCUUCCUAAGCAUUCGCUCGUGCAAUAAGACAUUUGGAAGGUUUUUUUGCCAGUUCAUCAGCUUUUAGGCAUUGAGGGAGGACAGUGUCUCCUGGCACGGCAUUUGUACAGAGCCUGAGAGGAACGCAGCUCGUCAGCACUGCAGGUGGCACAUGUGGCACAUCUCCUCACCGCACAGAUCCUUCCCGAGGUCCAGCUCACCUCUCUCCUCAAGGCCACGCAAAACGUCCUGACCUCGUAGACUAACAACUGGCUUUCCUUAACAAAACAUGUGGUGUCAGCACCAGCCAGAAACGCAUCGCCCUCUGUAAGCAGGUGUCCUGAAAUAAAAGGCCAGAGGGUGGCUUGUAAAGAGUCAGUGAAUGCCAGUCCAAAGCAUGAUGAAAUCUUUCACGGGAGAAGAAAAAACAAGGACUAAAUAUGAUGGUCCCCAAAAAACUGGUGAUAACACCCAAACAGCUGUGCAGCCAAGAAGGAUGGUGGAUGCCUGCCGAGCCUUUGUGUCUUGUAACCAAACGCUGUGAGGGGAGCUUAGCAUCACUAUGCUCAUCCUCACUCCAAAUUGUAGGAGACAGGAUGUCACCCAGCAAGAGCUGGAGAUGGCUUGGAUCUUCUGAGCUGAGCUCUGUGUGGACCAUCAAGUGCACUGUGCCUGCGGAGCUGCCAGUUAUGCUGAGUUUUUCUUUGUGCUCUUGUUUUGAAGACACUAGUACUAAAGGCAAGCAUCAGUCUGACAGUUCUGAAAACUGAAAUCUCUUUAUCCCCUAUGAAGGAAAGCAAACCAACCACAAUCUGGCUUCUUUCAGGCUUCUCCUGUUCAAGCCCAGUGUGGGAGCUGUACCCUGGCAGGCACGAGGGGUGUGUAACCCACUGCCCGCUUGUUCCUGAGUACUUCUGCAGAGACUUUUGGUGAGAAACUCAAGCACAUGGCUGGUUUUGCUCCGUCUUUAUUAUGCUUUUACUCCCCAGACCACAGCCCAGGAGAGACGUGCUGUUAUUGCUCGGUGCCAUGAAGUAACACGGUGCUGCAGACAACAAAAGAAGCUGACUGCAGAGCGGGGACCUCUGCAUCUCCAGGUCCCCAGCUUGGCAACCUGGUCAAUGGCUCUGGUUGUUUCAGUUCUAGGAAACAGGCUGAUGCUAAUGACCCUGAACUAUUAUUUGCCUACUGUAAUACAGGGAAAUGAGGGCUAGAUGUGAGGAUUUGCAGCUUGCUGCCUUUCCCCGCUCUCCUUCCCUGGAAGAGUUUUGCAAAAACAACUCGGCACUGGCCGGACACCCAUCCCCAUGGCUGGUAGCGACAUCCCCGCUCCCAGGGGGCCCUACCCUGCAAUACUCCACGCUGUCGUCUGCAGGCCUUGUGGAUGGGAACUACAUACCUGGAGCUCCUGAUACAGGGGCUAUGGAGGAACACCAGCUCUCCUCGUGGGAGGCAGGGUACCCUGCCUCUUCCUUCUGAAUGUGCUUUAUGGAAGAGCAGCAAGGGCUGGGUGCACGUUGCGUGUCCCCACAGCCACGUGAGGCAUGGCACGUCGGUCUGGGGCUGGCCGAAACGCGUUGUGUGAUGCAUCUGGCACGGAAACCUUUUCCCAGCUCUUCAUGCCAGGCUCUUCUGGACACCAGGAAAGGAGUGGGCAGCUGUUUGGCAGCCUUGGCCUGCUGACCAUCGCCUCCUUCUUUUGUGCCCCAGCGCCUCUCUGGGGCUCGUGAGCACAGAUGGGCCGGGCCAGGUGCAGGAUGGCCGGUGUCA
RNAcentral lists this long non-coding RNA (1846 nucleotides) under Anser cygnoides (Swan goose). Its description in RNAcentral is "lncRNA (ENSACDG00005000677.1)". Lineage: Eukaryota; Metazoa; Chordata; Aves; Anseriformes; Anatidae. The record is from RNAcentral.